CCUACGGGUGGCAGCAGUGAGGAAUAUUGGUCAAUGGGCGAGAUACUGGACCAGCCAAGCCGCGUGAGGGACGACGGCCCAAUGGGUUGUAAACCUCUUUUGUCGGGGAACAAAACCUGGGACGUGUCCCCGACUGCGUGUACCCGCAGCAAAAGCAUCGCCUAACUCCGUGCCAGCAGCCGCGGUAAUACGGAGGAUGCGAGCGUUAUCCGGAUUUAUUGGGUUUAAAGGGGGCGUAGGCGGUACGUUAAGUCAGCGGUAAAAUGUCGGUGCUCAACCCCGUCCGGCCGUUGAAACUGGCAGACUUGAGUGGGCGAGAAGUACGCGGAAUGCGCGGUGUAGCGGUGAAAUGCAUAGAUAUCGCGCAGAACUCCGAUUGCGAAGGCAGCGUACCGGCGCUAGACUGACGCUGAGGCACGAAAGCGUGGGGAUCGAACAGGAUUAGAUACCCGAGUAGUC
RNAcentral lists this ribosomal RNA (459 nucleotides) under uncultured bacterium. RNAcentral's name for it is "partial 16S ribosomal RNA". It matches the Rfam family "Bacterial small subunit ribosomal RNA", at positions 338 to 795 of the family's 1533-position model. The record is from RNAcentral.